ACGGGAGGCAGCAGUGGGGAAUAUUGGGCAAUGGGCGCAAGCCUGACCCAGCAAUGCCGCGUGAAGGAAGAAGGCUUUCGGGUUGUAAACUUCUUUUAAGUGGGACGAUAAUGACGGUACCACUUGAAUAAGCUCCGGCUAACUACGUGCCAGCAGCCGCGGUAAUACGUAGGGAGCAAGCGUUAUCCGGAUUUACUGGGUGUAAAGGGCGUGUAGCCGGGUCGGUAAGUCAGAUGUGAAAUCUACGGGCUCAACUCGUAAACUGCAUUUGAAACUGCUGAUCUUGAGUAUCGGAGAGGCAAUCGGAAUUCCUAGUGUAGCGGUGAAAUGCGUAGAUAUUAGGAGGAACACCAGUGGCGAAGGCGGAUUGCUGGACGACAACUGACGGUGAGGCGCGAAAGCGUGGGGAGCAAACAGGAUUAGAUACCCUGGUA
This 434-nucleotide ribosomal RNA is filed under the name uncultured Oscillibacter sp. Its description in RNAcentral is "partial 16S ribosomal RNA". It matches the Rfam family "Bacterial small subunit ribosomal RNA", at positions 341 to 792 of the family's 1533-position model. Lineage: Bacteria; Bacillati; Bacillota; Clostridia; Eubacteriales; Oscillospiraceae. The record is from RNAcentral.